This 380-nucleotide ribosomal RNA is filed under the name uncultured Candidatus Saccharibacteria bacterium. RNAcentral's name for it is "bacterial SSU rRNA". It matches the Rfam family "Bacterial small subunit ribosomal RNA", at positions 367 to 762 of the family's 1533-position model. The record is from RNAcentral. Lineage: Bacteria; Candidatus Saccharimonadota.
CGCAAUGGGGGCAACCCUGAUGGAGCAACGCCGCGUGCAGGAUGAAGGCCCUCGGGUCGUAAACUGCUUUUUUCUGUGAUGAUUAUGACAGUAGCAGACGAAUAAGGAUCGGCUAACUCCGUGCCAGCAGCCGCGGUCAUACGGAGGAUCCAAGCGUUAUCCGGAAUUACUGGGCGUAAAGAGUUGCGUAGGUGGUUUAUUAAGCAAGGCAUGAAAUCGUGUGGCUCAACCAUGCGGCUAUGCUUUGAACUGAUAGACUAGAGGAUGAGAGAGGUUAUUGGAAUUCCCAGUGUAGGAGUGAAAUCCGUAGAUAUUGGGAGGAACACCGAUGGCGUAGGCAGAUAACUGGCUCAUUCCUGACUUCUAAGGCACGAAAGCGU